GUAGGUGGCAAGCGUUGUCCGGGAAUUAUUGGGGCGUAAAGCGCGCGCAGGCGGUUCUUUAAGUCUGAUGCGAAAGCCCACGGGCUCAACCGUGGAGGGUCAUUGGAAACUGGAGAACUUGAGUACAGAAGAGGAAAGCGGAAUUCCACGUGUAGCGGUGAAAUGCGUAGAGAUGUGGAGGAGCACCAGUGGCGAAGGCGGCUUUCUGGUCUGUAACUGACGCUGAGGCGCGAAAGCGUGGGGAGCAAACAGGAUUAGAUACCCUGGUAGUCCACGCCGUAAACGAUGAGUGCUAAGUGUUAGGGGGUUUCCGCCCCUUAGUGCUGCAGCUAACGCAUUAAGCACUCCGCCUGGGGAGUACGGCCGCAAAGGCUG
Molecule: ribosomal RNA, 375 nt
Filed under: uncultured organism
Description: partial 16S ribosomal RNA
Rfam family: Bacterial small subunit ribosomal RNA
Source: RNAcentral